UUCCCCCAAAAAAAAAAAAAAAAAAACUCCCACAAAAAUCCCCCCCCAAUUCACUCAGAAAAUUUGGCUUGAGCACCGCCCCAUCCACCUGAGCUUGAAGACCGCCGAAGUUCAGCCUCAAAGAGUUCCGUUGGAUUGAAGGCUGCCGGAGUGCCGUCAGCUAGUUCGAGCGUUAGCCACCGUCAAGCAGCAUCAACACUUAUACAUUAGGGCUUCCGGAGUUCCUCUGGGUUGAAGGCUGCCGGAGUGCCAUCGGCUAGUUCGAGCGUUAGCCACCGUCAAGCAGCAUCAACACUUAUACAUUAGGGCUGCCGGAGUUCCUCUGGGUUGAAGGCUGCCGGAGUGCCGUCGGCUAGUUCGAGCGUUAGCCACCGUCUAGAGGCACCAUGCAGUUAAUGCAUGUUUGGCGCCGCUGUACUCUGUAGAAGGAAUGCAUGUAAUCACAGUGGAAGGCAUUGGAAGUCGUAAACUUGGCUUGCAUCCAGUGCAGCUACAGACGUAUCAAAACUUCUUAGAGGAGCAUGGGCUAAUGUUUCGUUGUUUCAUGUCUACAUUUUGUACCUAAUUCAUAUGCAUAUUUCCAUUUUAAAUAUAACCGAGAUCACAUUCCUUUGUCCUCUAAGGAUUUUGGUAGCUGAAAUCGAGCACAAUUUAUCUCGAAGUUCAUGGGUAUGUUAAAAAGGCUUUUAUGUCCGAACUUGAAAAGGAAGAUAAGCAUUGCAAAUUUAUGUUAGCACCGUAUCUUCAAAGUAAUCAUUGGGUGCUUUUGGUAAUAAACUUACAAUUGGGCCUUGUGUUCGAGUUUGAUCCUGCCACUUGUCCUAAAAAGACCCCAAGAAAAUUGAGAUUGGCUGAUAUACUAAUGAAGGCAUACAAGGUGUAUUUGUCUAAAUUGAAGGGUAAUGUUUUGAAAAGUAGAAGGAAAAAUUUGCUAUUUAAGCAAAUGGAGUGUGCUCAAUAAAAAGGAGGUACUGAGUGUGGAUAUUACGUCAUGAGAUACAUGUAUGAGGUUGUUGUUGGUCACAGUGAGUGCGAAGGUAAUUUAAGAGGAGGUAUAUUCUGCAAGGAAAAUGGCUUAUGAUGAAAGGGAAUUGAAUGAAACUCGAGAACAGUGGGCAAAUUUCUUUCGAAGAAAAUAUUUGUUGAAUGAACCAAUUUAGUUAUUUUAAUUUCAUCGAAUGCAUAACUAAUUUGAUUGCAUAUGUAGGGAUGGUGAACUUGUUUGUUGAUUAGUGAAUGAAUUUAUUGAUAUGUUACAUUAAAUUUUUUAUGUGGAAUGAUGACUUCAUUUAUUGGUGAA
Molecule: long non-coding RNA, 1300 nt
Organism: Chenopodium quinoa (quinoa)
Lineage: Eukaryota; Viridiplantae; Streptophyta; Magnoliopsida; Caryophyllales; Amaranthaceae
Exons: 10
Source: RefSeq, a predicted model, not a curated record